RNAcentral lists this ribosomal RNA (1491 nucleotides) under Nes longus. Its description in RNAcentral is "partial 16S ribosomal RNA". It matches the Rfam family "Bacterial large subunit ribosomal RNA", at positions 371 to 2597 of the family's 2925-position model. Lineage: Eukaryota; Metazoa; Chordata; Actinopteri; Gobiiformes; Gobiidae. The record is from RNAcentral.
ACCCUAACAGCUAGCCCACCCAAAAACUUAACAACCCCCCAUUAAUAACCCUAAACGCAGAAAACUGCACCCAACAAAUCAUUUUUCCCCCCUAGUAUGGGAGACAGAAAAGGAAACACAGGCGCUAUAGAGAAAGUACCGCAAGGGAAAGCUGAAAGAGAGAUUAAAGAGCCCAGUUAAGGACUAAAAAGCAGAGAUUUAACCUCGUACCUUUUGCAUCAUGACUUAGCAAGUAUAUUCAAGCGAAGAGAUCUGUACGUUUGAACCCCCGAAUCUGGGCGAGCUACUCCAAGACAGCCUAUUAUAGGGCCAACCCGUCUCUGUGGCAAAAGAGUGGGAAGAGCUUUGAGUAGAGGUGAUAAACCUACCGAGCCCAGUAAUAGCUGGUUGCCUGAAAAUUGAAUAGAAGUUCAACCUUUUAAAUUUUUCCACCCACCAUGGCCCAACCACUACCCGGCAAGAAGAACUUUAAAAGAGCUAUUCAGGGGAGGAACAGCUCCCCUGACAAAGACACAACUUUUACAGGAGGUCAAAGACUAUAUUUAAUAAGGCAUAGUACCCAAGUGGGCCUAGAAGCAGCCACCUUAAUAGAAAGCGUUAAGGCUUAAGACUAAGCCCCUCCCCUAAUACCAGAAACACCCUCUUUUACCCCUAAACCUAUCAGGCCCCUCCAUGCCACCAUGGGGAAGACACUGCUAAUAUGAGUAAUAAGAAGGGCCCCGCCCCUUCUCCCUGCCCCUGUGUAACCGGAACAAACCCUAACCGAAAAUUAACGCCCCCAAACUAGAGGGACUUGAGAAAAAUAACAUAAACUAGAAAACCCCUCAAUCUAUAGCUGUUAGCCCCACACAGGUGGGCCAAAGGAAAGACUAAAAGAAAAAGAAGGAACUCGGCAAGCACUAGCCUCGCCUGUUUACCAAAAACAUCACCUCUUGCAAACCCAGUAUAAGAGGCCCCGCCUGCCCGGUGACAAAGUUUAACGGCCGCGGUAUUUUGACCGUGCGAAGGUAGCGUAAUCACUUGUCUUUUAAAUGGAGACCUGUAUGAAUGGCAUAACGAGGGCUAAACUGUCUCCUUUUUCCAGUCAAUGAAAUUGAUCUGCCCGUGCAGAAGCGGGUAUAUAAACAUAAGACGAGAAGACCCUAUGAAGCUUAAGACCUCAGGCAGACUAAGUCAAAUACCUUCAAUAAUGAAGACUAAACUAAGUAGAACCUGCCCCAAUGUCUUUGGUUGGGGCGACCACGGAGAAACAAAAAACCCCCGCGAGGAAUGGACCCUCCCCAAAGCUAGAGUUACAACUCUGACUAGCAGAAAUUCUGACCCCUAAGACCCGGCAACGCCGAUCAACGGACCAAGUUACUCUAGGGAUAACAGCGCAAUCCCCUUUUAGAGCCCAUAUCGACAAGGGGGUUUACGACCUCGAUGUUGGAUCAGGACUUCCUAAUGGUGCAGCCGCUAUUAAGGGUUCGUUUGUUCAACGAUUAAAGUCCU